GGUGUGAUUCAUGACUGGGGUGAAGUCGUAACAAGGUAGCCGUAGGGGAACCUGCGGCUGGAUCACCUCCUUA
This 73-nucleotide ribosomal RNA is filed under the name Pseudomonas putida. RNAcentral describes it as "partial 16S ribosomal RNA". It matches the Rfam family "Bacterial small subunit ribosomal RNA", at positions 1461 to 1533 of the family's 1533-position model. The record is from RNAcentral. RNAcentral also lists the same sequence under 9 other names. Lineage: Bacteria; Pseudomonadati; Pseudomonadota; Gammaproteobacteria; Pseudomonadales; Pseudomonadaceae.